Long non-coding RNA from Oncorhynchus tshawytscha (Chinook salmon), 707 nucleotides. The record is from Ensembl. Lineage: Eukaryota; Metazoa; Chordata; Actinopteri; Salmoniformes; Salmonidae.
CCAGUGCCAGAAGGAAACUAUACAUCUAAACAGUGUCUGAAAGUAGACCCAACUCCAUCUCCCAUCCUGAUCCCCCCCAGCACCAGGCAAAGGUUCCUUUGACCACACCAGCCUCUCAGGUUCCUUUGACCACACCAGCCACUCAGGUUCCUUUGACCACACCAGCCUCUCAGGUUCCUUUGACCACACCAGCCUCUCAGGUUCCUUUGACCACACCAGCCUCUCAGGUUCCUUUGACCACACCAGCCUCUCAGGUUCCUUUGACCUCACCAGCCUCUCAGGUUCCUUUGACCACAUCAGCCUCUCAGGUUCCUUUGACCACACCAGCCUCUCAGGUUCCUUUGACCACACCAGCCUCUCAGGUUCCUUUGACCACACCAGCCUCUCAGGUUCCUUUGACCACACCAGCCUCGCCCGUCCCACCUCCUUUCUUCUCCCCUUUUUUUCAUUUUCCACUUGACAACCCCCCCCUAGUCUCUUACACUUCCUCACUAUACUCUCCUCAUCCACUAGAAUAACCUGACUAGGCCCAGCCUCAUCUACACCACCAUCUAUAACCUGACUAGACUCAGCCUCAUCUACACCACCAUCUAUAACCUGACUAGACCCAGCCCCAUCUACCGCACCAUCUAUAACCUGACUAGACUCAUCUACACCACCAUCCAUAACCUGACUAGACCCAGCCCCAUCUACACCACCAUCUAUAA